Molecule: ribosomal RNA, 1742 nt
Filed under: Proteus sp. G2667
Lineage: Bacteria; Pseudomonadati; Pseudomonadota; Gammaproteobacteria; Enterobacterales; Morganellaceae
Also listed under: 1 other name
Description: partial 23S ribosomal RNA
Rfam family: Bacterial large subunit ribosomal RNA
Source: RNAcentral
GUUGGGUAGGGGAGCGUUCUGUAAGCCUGCGAAGGUGUACUGUGAGGUAUGCUGGAGGUAUCAGAAGUGCGAAUGCUGACAUAAGUAACGAUAAUGCGGGUGAAAAACCCGCACGCCGGAAGACCAAGGGUUCCUGUCCAACGUUAAUCGGGGCAGGGUGAGUCGACCCCUAAGGCGAGGCUGAAAAGCGUAGUCGAUGGGAAACGGGUUAAUAUUCCCGUACUGGUGGUAACUGCGAUGGGGGAACGGAGAAGGCUAGGUUGUCCGGGCGACGGUCGUCCCGGUUCAAGCAUGUAGGCAGAGUGAUUAGGCAAAUCCGGUCACUUAAUGCUGAGGUGUGAUGACGAACCACUAAGGUGGUGAAGCAAUUGAUGCCCUGCUUCCAGGAAAAGCCUCUAAGCUUCAGGUUACCAACAAUCGUACCCCAAACCGACACAGGUGGUCAGGUAGAGAAUACUCAGGCGCUUGAGAGAACUCGGGUGAAGGAACUAGGCAAAAUGGUGCCGUAACUUCGGGAGAAGGCACGCUGGCGGUAAGUGAAGUCCCUUGCGGACGGAGCCGAAGCCAGUCGAAGAUACCAGCUGGCUGCAACUGUUUAUUAAAAACACAGCACUGUGCAAACACGAAAGUGGACGUAUACGGUGUGACGCCUGCCCGGUGCUGGAAGGUUAAUUGAUGGGGUUAUCCUUAGGGAGAAGCUCUUGAUCGAAGCCCCAGUAAACGGCGGCCGUAACUAUAACGGUCCUAAGGUAGCGAAAUUCCUUGUCGGGUAAGUUCCGACCUGCACGAAUGGCGUAAUGAUGGCCAGGCUGUCUCCACCCGAGACUCAGUGAAAUUGAACUCGCUGUGAAGAUGCAGUGUACCCGCGGCAAGACGGAAAGACCCCGUGAACCUUUACUAUAGCUUGACACUGAACAUUGAGCCUUGAUGUGUAGGAUAGGUGGGAGACUAUGAAGUGUGGACGCCAGUCUGCAUGGAGUCAACCUUGAAAUACCACCCUUUAACGUUUGAUGUUCUAACCUAGGCCCAUAAUCUGGGUCGGGGACCGUGUCUGGUGGGUAGUUUGACUGGGGCGGUCUCCUCCUAAAGAGUAACGGAGGAGCACGAAGGUUGGCUAAGCAUGGUCGGACAUCAUGCGGUUAGUGCAAAGGCAUAAGCCAGCUUGACUGUGAGAGUGACGGCUCGAGCAGGUACGAAAGUAGGUCUUAGUGAUCCGGUGGUUCUGAAUGGAAGGGCCAUCGCUCAACGGAUAAAAGGUACUCCGGGGAUAACAGGCUGAUACCGCCCAAGAGUUCAUAUCGACGGCGGUGUUUGGCACCUCGAUGUCGGCUCAUCACAUCCUGGGGCUGAAGUAGGUCCCAAGGGUAUGGCUGUUCGCCAUUUAAAGUGGUACGCGAGCUGGGUUUAGAACGUCGUGAGACAGUUCGGUCCCUAUCUGCCGUGGGCGUUGGAAGAUUGAGAGGGGUUGCUCCUAGUACGAGAGGACCGGAGUGAACGCACCACUGGUGUUCGGGUUGUCAUGCCAAUGGCAUUGCCCGGUAGCUAAGUGCGGAAGAGAUAACCGCUGAAAGCAUCUAAGCGGGAAACUUGCCUCAAGAUGAGUCUUCCCUGUCACCUUGAGUGACCUAAAGGAACGUUUAAGACUAAGACGUUGAUAGGCUGGGUGUGUAAGCGUAGCGAUACGUUGAGCUAACCAGUACUAAUGAACCGUGAGGCUUAACCUGACAACACCGAAGGUGUUU